GACGAACGCUGGCGGCGUGCUUAACACAUGCAAGUCGAACGGAAAGGCCCUGCUUUUGUGGGGUGCUCGAGUGGCGAACGGGUGAGUAACACGUGAGUAACCUGCCCUUGACUUUGGGAUAACUUCAGGAAACUGGGGCUAAUACCGGAUAGGAGCUCCUGCUGCAUGGUGGGGGUUGGAAAGUUUCGGCGGUUGGGGAUGGACUCGCGGCGUAUCAGCUUGUUGGUGGGGUAGUGGCUUACCAAGGCUUUGACGGGUAGCCGGCCUGAGAGGGUUACCGGCCACAUUGGGACUGAGAUACGGCCCAGACUCCUACGCGAGGCAGCAGUGGGGAAUAUUGCACAAUGGGCGGAAGCCUGAUGCAGCAACGCCGCGUGCGGGAUGACGGCCUUCGGGUUGUAAACCGCUUUCGCCUGUGACGAAGCGUGAGUGACGGUAAUGGGUAAAGAAGCACCGGCUAACUACGUG
RNAcentral lists this ribosomal RNA (468 nucleotides) under uncultured bacterium. RNAcentral describes it as "partial 16S ribosomal RNA". It matches the Rfam family "Bacterial small subunit ribosomal RNA", at positions 28 to 507 of the family's 1533-position model. The record is from RNAcentral.